This 419-nucleotide ribosomal RNA is filed under the name uncultured bacterium. RNAcentral describes it as "bacterial SSU rRNA". It matches the Rfam family "Bacterial small subunit ribosomal RNA", at positions 357 to 776 of the family's 1533-position model. The record is from RNAcentral.
GGGAAUAUUGCACAAUGGGGGAAACCCUGAUGCAGCGACGCCGCGUGAGUGAAGAAGUAUUUCGGUACGUAAAGCUCUAUCAGCAGGGAAGAAAAAAAGUCCUUUGGACUUUGGACGGUACCUGACCAAGAAGCCCCGGCUAACUACGUGCCAGCAGCCGCGGUAAUACGUAUGGGGCAAGCGUUAUCCGGAUUUACUGGGUGUAAAGGGAGCGUAGACGGCAGCGCAAGUCUGGAGUGAAAUGCCGGGGCUCAACCCCGGAACUGCUUUGGAAACUGUGCAGCUCGAGUGCAGGAGAGGUAAGCGGAAUUCCUAGUGUAGCGGUGAAAUGCGUAGAUAUUAGGAGGAACACCAGUGGCGAAGGCGGCUUACUGGACUGUAACUGACGUUGAGGCUCGAAAGCGUGGGGAGCAAACAGG